Molecule: long non-coding RNA, 3794 nt
Organism: Rhipicephalus microplus (southern cattle tick)
Lineage: Eukaryota; Metazoa; Arthropoda; Arachnida; Ixodida; Ixodidae
Source: RefSeq, a predicted model, not a curated record
AGCUGACUAGCCGUGUAGCUGUGUUGCAGUGGCUAUUCUAGCCACUGUAGCUGUGUUAGGGUGGCUAGCUGUGUGUUCACUAAUUGUUCGUAUCUAUAAUUGCUCCUCAGUAUCCAAUCUACGGAGUGCUGCAAGUGUCCCAACUACUCGCAUUUGAAGACCUGCUCGGCUUUACCCAUUGCUUGGCGCAUUACCGAGCACAGUAUCCGUUCAAACGAAAGUCGCGCACAGACCAUGGUCGUCACUGCUUCAUCACGAAGCUACCGCUCCACGAAGUUCUGCCUGUAAACUGCACGUCCAACAGUACGCUCAUUGUUGCUGUCGAUGGAGUCGCCGAGAUACUAGCUGUGCAACGAUAUUUGCGGCGACCUUCAUAUGGCUUCCUUGUCAGCCGCACGAAAUGCGUGCUUCGUGUGUGAUGGUUCCCUGCAGUGCGCCUGAAGAAAUACCGUACGCAAGGACCAGAAAGGAGAGUCCACGAAGAUUACCAGUUUCUUCUCAAGUUGACCUUUGCCAGUCUUCAAGUACAUCUUGCGCCCUAUUUACUGAUGCUCGCGUGUUGUUUGUGGAUAUGGCACGGUCUGUCACUUUCACUGCCGAUCUUAGAGAACUGAGUGUACGAGGAUUACUGCCUUCAUUCGAACCUUGCCUCUGUAUAGCAGUGUCUGUGCUUUUUGCCUUCUUCAUUAUUGCUUGCAUGGUCGCUUGUUAUGGCCACACUUUUUGUCAGUUAUUUCACUGUCAUGUUUGGUAGAAAUGGAGGUCAAUGAUUGUGUUGUACCUGGGUGUGAAAGGGUCCUCAAGACGGUAUUUUCGUUUUUCAUUAGACCACUACUAGAGCAAAUCAUUGGCAGCAUAAUUCAAUCGAGACAACCUUUAUUAACGAAGCUACGAGUAAUAUAUAGGUACCCUCCUCUUCCACUCCACCUUUCACCCACAGCUACCUCAACUCUUCAAGCGUCAAGCUCUGCCUUCACAGGGCCUGCCCCCACGCAUUUCACAGCCAAUCCUAGCAGCAGCCAUGGUGACGUUAAGUGGGCAGAGCCUGCCGCUCUGUGAAUGGGCGGUUGAAAACGCAUUUGGCCGUGCUGCAGUAAUCUGCAGUGAUUCGCAGCUUUAAAGCACUGUGAUAAAUUACCCAAUUUAUGCAGAGAGCUCAAAUCGGUUUGUAAAUGACUCUUGGGAAUCGGUCUAUCGGCCUAAUGUGUUUGUACAAAAUCGUCGAAACUGUUUCAGGGUCGCUUAACUGUUCCUCGGCUAGCAGCCUGAAGCCACAAAAUUUUAGUCUCCUGCAAGGGCCGGUACAGGAAAAAAAAUUUCAGCAGGUUGGAGGUUGAACUAAAUGUCUGCUAACAUUGUUAUUCGAAGGAGGGCCCUUGCCACAUUUCAUGUCUGGGUCAUUUCUGAAGGGGAUUUUCUGCAUGAAUUCGAAAAACGUAUUGAUACUGGUCUUUGAAAUGUCUGAAAUCUGAACCCCAAUUUUUUGUUCCAAGGGAGUGUUUCAAAAACACGGGGACUGCGAGGGGUACACAAAAAAAUUUUUUUUUCAAGGCUAUUCGUGCAUAACUGAUGAAAAUGCUCAUUAAGGAAAUAAGUAUCGCAUGAAGAAAGUGACAUGCUGGCCGAGCCAACUGCAAAAGUUCUGUGGACUGUCUGUUUGACACACCUGGUGUAGUAAUCGCAUAGUGUUCACGUCAUCAUCUGAUUAGUGCCUUAAACUGACAUUUUAGCAUCACCUGCUCGUGUGGCUACUUGAGAAAGUCUUUCAAGCUGAAUGUUCUGUGAAAAGUGCUGUGGGUCCACCAGAAUUGAUGAUGACACCCUCUAGUUUAAGUGUUAGAGGGACACUAAAGAGCAGAGCAAUUUUUCGCGUGUUAGUGAGGUACGAAUCCCAAAAACACCACUCUUACUGCGACUCUACGCUUGGUAAGCGAGAAAAUGCGCCAGAAGGAUAUGCAAAAGAAGACGCCACCAUGAGAUUCCUGCACCAAGAACCGUGAUGUAGUAAAUUUUGAAGGCUUCUACUGGAUCCUGUAUAGCUUCUACUCGAUAAAAAUGAAGUACAUUGUUAUCUGUGUGUGCUAUAGAUUCAGCAUAUGAAGUUUAGGAAAAUUUCAUGGAGCCAAUGUUGCGAAAAUAUGAAAUAUAUAUUUAGUAACUUGUUACGCCACUCGCGGAGAUUUCGACACAGAAUUUUUAAAAAUAAAACUUCUACUUUGAUUUUCUCUGCCGAUAAUGAACUUGCGACAGUCAAAGUCAGGGCAUUAGCGUUCUCAGAGUGAAAUUUAUCAAUCUAGACCGAGCCAUUGUUUCUCUUUAGUGUUCCUUUAACGACGCAUGAGAUGUGUGUGACGUUUAAGAAAAGUAAGUUUAUGCAAGACCAUGCAGUAUUGAAAGAAUGCCCAGAGAUGCGAUGAUUAAUCUCUUAUAGUUCUAUCUGGUAUCCACAUGCUUAAAGUUGAAGUUUUUGGUGUUUAAAAGCAAAACAUAGUGCUUGCAUUGCUCCGGCAGAGUAGCUGUGGAGUAAGCUGGCUUGUACGGUACUCUUAGAUUGAAACACGAAAUUUUAGGGCUGACUACAUACAGUUCAUGUCACAUUUUUACUUGGAACAUUGGAUCAAAGACAACAUUACCUAUAGCGGCCAGAGGUGCUCUGACAUGAUGUGCUUAUCACAAAUAAUUGCUCAUAGAUGUCGUUGCUCUAAAAACAAAAAGAAGAAGCGCAUUCGUGCAAAUGUGUAAAGACCUUGUGAGAGUAAGAGAAACCAGAAUACAGGAGUGCAGACCUGUACACUCACACCUCAUUAUAACAAAGUUGCGUCUUACACGAAAAUAAGUUUGUUAAAUCAGAAAAUUUGUUAUAAAGAUGUUUUCUUAACAGUAUGUCUAUUGUAAGUAUAUUUUUCCUUUACUUCGUUAUAACUGAUAUUUCGUUAUAUCCGGGUUCGUUAUAUCGAGGUUUGAGUGUGGCACUUCAGCGGCUUGUGUUAUCUAGACUGCUCUUUGUUUUGUUUUUUUCACUGUCACCAAGUGGUCAAACCAGUGGGUAUGAACACAAUCUAUAGGCACGAGCUCAUUAGAGGUGCCAGCAACACUUGGUAAUUAAUUCUAUGACAGCUGUUGUGUUAAGCCCCAGUUCCACAUGAAAAACAUGUGACGUAGAUGUGUUCCAUGUGCAGACAUGUUUUUGCAGACUCCAUUGUCAUGUUCACUAUAGCUCCGACUGUGACUGCCCCUCCCCUUCUCCUUUUUUUAACGAGUAGCACUGCUGUCUUCACAGCUGGGACUGAGUAAUUAGUGUACUGGUGUAUUAUUUAUGUUUGAAUGUGCCAGUUUUUGUUUGGAUAGAAAUUAUGGUGACUUCUUGACAUUAUGCUUCCUGGUGCAUACCUGUUCUGUUUUUUAUCUGCAAUAGGGUUUGAACGUGAAUUUAUUUGUGCCUUGAUAUCUAAAGUCGGCUCUCUCUCGCAAUAUCAGCAAGCUUGCCAGCAAGCCAGGUUCAGCUGUUACUAGUAUCUUAAUACUGCAAACAUCUCGACAUCCUAUUUCUCUCUGACGCCGUCAAUAACAGUGUUAAUCAAAACACCAGUGCUGCGUUAGUGCACUUAAUACAUGGGUAUGUACCAGAUGGUCCUUUUCGAUAAAAGCCAAGUGUUUAGUUGAAACCUAACAGAUAAGGCGAACUGUUCUCGCCGUUUGCCUUUUUAGCACAGUAGUUACCCAAUGGUUGUGUAGACAUAGCAGUCUGUUCUCUAACAUAGACAAUAUUGUUUAAUAAAAGUGUUCAUUGUUCU